RNAcentral lists this ribosomal RNA (1489 nucleotides) under metagenome. RNAcentral's name for it is "bacterial SSU rRNA". It matches the Rfam family "Bacterial small subunit ribosomal RNA". The record is from RNAcentral.
AGAGUUUGAUCAUGGCUCAGAUUGAACGCUGGCGGCAGGCCUAACACAUGCAAGUCGAACGGUAACAGGAAGAAGCUUGCUUCUUUGCUGACGAGUGGCGGACGGGUGAGUAUGUCUGGGAAACUGCCUGAUGGAGGGGGAUAACUACUGGAAACGGUAGCUAAUACCGCAUAACGUCGCAAGACCAAAGAGGGGGACCUUCGGGCCUCUUGCCAUCGGAUGUGCCCAGAUGGGAUUAGCUAGUAGGUGGGGUAACGGCUCACCUAGGCGACGAUCCCUAGCUGGUCUGAGAGGAUGACCAGCCACACUGGAACUGAGACACGGUCCAGACUCCUACGGGAGGCAGCAGUGGGGAAUAUUGCACAAUGGGCGCAAGCCUGAUGCAGCCAUGCCGCGUGUAUGAAGAAGGCCUUCGGGUUGUAAAGUACUUUCAGCGGGGAGGAAGGGAGUAAAGUUAAUACCUUUGCUCAUUGACGUUACCCGCAGAAGAAGCACCGGCUAACUCCGUGCCAGCAGCCGCGGUAAUACGGAGGGUGCAAGCGUUAAUCGGAAUUACUGGGCGUAAAGCGCACGCAGGCGGUUUGUUAAGUCAGAUGUGAAAUCCCCGGGCUCAACCUGGGAACUGCAUCUGAUACUGGCAAGCUUGAGUCUCGUAGAGGGGGGUAGAAUUCCAGGUGUAGCGGUGAAAUGCGUAGAGAUCUGGAGGAAUACCGGUGGCGAAGGCGGCCCCCUGGACGAAGACUGACGCUCAGGUGCGAAAGCGUGGGGAGCAAACAGGAUUAGAUACCCUGGUAGUCCACGCCGUAAACGAUGUCGACUUGGAGGUUGUGCCCUUGAGGCGUGGCUUCCGGAGCUAACGCGUUAAGUCGACCGCCUGGGGAGUACGGCCGCAAGGUUAAAACUCAAAUGAAUUGUCGGGGGCCCGCACAAGCGGUGGAGCAUGUGGUUUAAUUCGAUGCAACGCGAAGAACCUUACCUGGUCUUGACAUCCACGGAAGUUUUCAGAGAUGAGAAUGUGCCUUCGGGAACCGUGAGACAGGUGCUGCAUGGCUGUCGUCAGCUCGUGUUGUGAAAUGUUGGGUUAAGUCCCGCAACGAGCGCAACCCUUAUCCUUUGUUGCCAGCGGUCCGGCCGGGAACUCAAAGGAGACUGCCAGUGAUAAACUGGAGGAAGGUGGGGAUGACGUCAAGUCAUCAUGACCCUUACGACCAGGGCUACACACGUGCUACAAUGGCGCAUACAAAGAGAAGCGACCUCGCGAGAGCAAGCGGACCUCAUAAAGUGCGUCGUAGUCCGGAUUGGAGUCUGCAACUCGACUCCAUGAAGUCGGAAUCGCUAGUAAUCGUGGAUCAGAAUGCCACGGUGAAUACGUUCCCGGGCCUUGUACACACCGCCCGUCACACCAUGGGAGUGGGUUGCAAAAGAAGUAGGUAGCUUAACCUUCGGGAGGGCGCUUACCACUUUGUGAUUCAUGACUGGGGUGAAGUCU